GAUGAACGCUGGCGGCGUGCCUAAUACAUGCAAGUCGAGCGACCGAAGAAGGAGCUUCCUCCUCGGACGUUGCCGGCGAAGGGGGGGUAACACGGGGGAUACCCUACCUAAAAAACGGGGAUAACUUGGGAAACCGGAACCAAAACCCGAAAAUAAAAUUGAACGCAAUGGUUAAUUAGUAAAAUACGGUUUUGCUGUACCUUAUAAUUGGUUCCGCGCCGCAUUAGCUAGUUGGUAAGGUAACGGCUUACCAAGGCAACGAUGCGUAGCCGACCUGAGAGGGUGAUCGGCCACACUGGAACUGAGACACGGUCCAGACUCCUACGGGAGGCAGCAGUAGGGAAUCUUCCGCAAUGGGCGAAAGCCUGACGGAGCAACGCCGCGUGAGUGAUGAAGGUCUUCGGAUCGUAAAACUCUGUUAUUAGGGAAGAACAAAUGUGUAAGUAACUAUGCACGUCUUGACGGUACCUAAUCAGAAAGCCACGGCUAACUACGUG
RNAcentral lists this ribosomal RNA (497 nucleotides) under uncultured bacterium. Its description in RNAcentral is "partial 16S ribosomal RNA". It matches the Rfam family "Bacterial small subunit ribosomal RNA", at positions 28 to 507 of the family's 1533-position model. The record is from RNAcentral.